UAGGACUCCAGGUGCAAUACUGAACCAAACCCGAAAGGCCCUGCUGUGCGUGAGUUUGGUUGCUGUCUCUGCCACUUCCUAGUGAGGCAGCCUUGAGCAAGCUCCUAAACCACUCAGAGCUUUGUUUUCUUCCUCAGGGACACAGGGAAUGUCACACUAAUUCUCAGCAUAAAUGUGAGCAUCAGAGUUUGUGCAUAUAAGAUCUUCGUCCUAAGUCUGACACCUUGUACCAACUCUAAUACACUAACCACUGGCUUUUUUUGGGGAAAGAACGGUAGGCAAGACACGGCUUGGAGGGCAGUGGUCCAAGGGGGACGGUGUCUGGUGUCCCAAGUUUGUGCCCUGUUUAUAAAUGCCCAGGGCCCAGCCCCGCACGGAGGAAACAAUUGAAAAAAAAAAAAAAAAAAGAAACCCUCAAGUCGGCAGCAUCCUCUUCCAGCUGCAGGCUCACAGCUCCAGGGGGGACCCAGCUCUCCUUCCUCCCUUGUUAUUUAAAGUCGAAGGGGUGUGUAAAUCAACCAAAAUAAUUCACGCGAAUCAUUAGCGACUCCAAGGUGGCAUCUUUUGACCAGCAGCAUUAAAUUAAAAACAGAACAAAACUGCGGCUUCUAAAAACACAUCGGCUCUGUUUCCUCCCUCCGGCCUGCUGUAAUCGAAAGCUGCUGGGAUCUAAUGAAAUGGAAUUAGCAUCUCCAAUCCCUCUCUGGCUACUGCUUACAUAAAAACAUCUCUCUGGAUGGAGAGCUGAAGGGAGAUGUCAGAAUUGCAAGGGAGUCCCACCCUUCUCUGCCGGCCCCCUCGCUCUGUGGCGCCCACCUGUCCAGUGCCGCCCGAGCUGCAGCGACCAUGUUGCAGAGGGGUCCGAAAGGAGUGGUCGGUUCUGUUUGUUCAUCUCUCGUUUCUGCCUCUGCAGAGACCCGGCCCAGCUCAGCAGUGCUCACACCAGCUCCUUCACGGUUUCCUGUGACAACUGCACAUCAAGACUGUCUCCCUCUAACCCCAUUUCAGAAAGACAACGAGGAGGGAGCAGCUAGAGGGGUGGAAAUGGGAUCACGUGACCUUGCGAGAAGCAGGGAGAGAGAACACUGCGUCUGCUCCCUUUUAGAACAGCUCAAUAUAGGGAAUCCCUAACAGAGGACUUCCAGGAUAUCCUAGGGACAGCAGAGCCUCAAGAUCCAGGGAGGAUCCUGGAUACCUGAGUCACCACUUGGAGGGGAAUCUCCUGGAAGAACUGAUUGAUCAGCAACAUCUACAUUCAACUUGAGGUUGUUCCGUAAGACAGGAUGGCACAGAGCUUUAAGCAACAGCUCUGGCAUCUGACUUCCGUGUUUGCAUCUGGCUUUGAGUGUGACUUUGGACAAGUUCCUUAGCUGGCCAGAUACUCUUGUCCUCAUCCAUAAGAUGGAGCAACAACGAAGCCUUUCUCAUAGGUUAUUGUGAGGAUUGAAUGAAUUAGUAUAUGCCAAGCAUUUGAAGCAGUGCCUGACAUGUAGUAGAUGCUGAGUAACACUGGGGAUCUGCCUUUUCUUUUUCCUCUAUGUGACUGGCAGCCUUAGCCAGACCACAUCAGCUGAGAUGAUUUUCUCUGUAAGUUACCAGGAUCACCUAGAUCUGGCCAAGGACUUGCCCCUGUAAGGAAAUUUGGAAUAAGCAAAAAAGAUCACUAGGUGUCGCCGAUGGAAAACUAGGUUGUUUUGAGCAUACCUUUGCAUGUUAUCUGAUUUUAGCCUUUCAGGGUCUUUGAGCUAUUUUAUGGCUCUGUAGGUUGUACAUAACUGAUAGCAAUGCAAAAUAAUUCUUGUCUAUAGACAUGCAAAUAAAUCCUGUCCAGCGGUUCAAUUGACUACCCUCUUCCCUAAGGAAAAAGCCAGUUUCAGUCUAUUUGUAAAUUCAUUUCCACUUUCCUUACUCCCUAUAAAUUUCUGCUUUUCAGAUUUCUCCUUUGUUAACGUCUGCCUGGUUCCCUCAUUAAGUCAAAUAAAAUCUUUAACACGUUAAAGUAUGAGAGUCAUGAUCUCACCUGUUUUAGGAAAAUUAUCUUUUAAUACUUCUGAUAGGAAAGUUUCCUAAGCAGACCAAAAAGUAGGUACCACGGUCCCGUCUCCUAGUGGUGUGACCUUGAUCCAGCUAUUUUUCUAUCCUGGUCUCAGUUUUCACAUCUAUGAAAUGGGAGUAACAUUAUACACCUAAGAGUACGCCUGAGUAUUUCUAAGAACUAUAUGGAAAGCAUCCAGCCUCCACCUGGGCACAGAGAAGCUGCUUAAGGAAAAGGAGCUGGCAUUGUUGCAGGGAUGGUGAUGUUUAAUCCUGGUUAUUGGUAACUCAGUCAGCAGAGGUAGCAUAGGUGUCGAAACAUAGGGAGAAGGACAACAGACAGGAUGUGCUUUCUAAGGCUAACAUGGAUGGGAACAGAGAGGAGAGGAGACCUUCCUGGGCCGAGCUGCCUGUCACCUACCCGUGCACUCAGCACCUCUGCAGCUGUCACUGGACACAUCCAACCCAGAGUGCAAUUGACAUGGGAAAAAACUGCACAUGUAGACGUUUCAGUGUGGUGAGAGUAUGUUGGCAUGGAGAUGGCUGCGUCUGCCCUCGUCAGGAUGAAGGAGGGGACGGUCAGUGAGGUGCCAGGAAAAGAAGAGAAGUGCAAAUCUGGGUGUGUCGGCUUGUUUCCCGGGGAGGUGUUGCUUUGCCCUGGGCAGAUGUGAUCAUCUGGCUCUUUGUUCAGCAUCUUCUGUGCUGCAACUCUUAGCUAGUCCCUAGAUUAUUCAUCAGCCAUGCAACCACUUGGUUAGCUUGAGUCUGUUCCCUCCACCUGGAGAAACCUUGGUGCACUCAUAAAAUGGGGUCUGCCCUGCUCAAAGGAAGAGCAGGCUGUGUGCUGGUUGUCAAAUCAGGAAUGUAACUGCUUUGAGGCAGCAGUAAAGUGCUAGACCAGCCUUCUAGAUCUAAUACAUAGUCCAGCAAAUUUUAUCUCUAACUGUUCCUAGUUUUCACUCUCCCUGGCUUUGACCUGAGAAAGAGAGCAAUCGUUUGAAAAGUAUUAAUGAGACUUUUCCCUUUGUUUCUUAG
RNAcentral lists this long non-coding RNA (3069 nucleotides) under Homo sapiens (human). RNAcentral's name for it is "HSALNT0245067". The record is from RNAcentral. Lineage: Eukaryota; Metazoa; Chordata; Mammalia; Primates; Hominidae.